RNAcentral lists this unclassified non-coding RNA (282 nucleotides) under uncultured fungus. RNAcentral describes it as "partial contains 5.8S ribosomal RNA, internal transcribed spacer 2, and large subunit ribosomal RNA". The record is from RNAcentral. Lineage: Eukaryota; Fungi.
AACGCACAUUGCGCCCAUUAGUAUUCUAGUGGGCAUGCCUGUUCGAGCGUCAUUAAAUCCACUUAAGCCCUGCUUAGUGUUGGGAGUCUACUGGAGCGGUGCUACCCGGGAGUUACCCUGUAGUUACCCUGUAGUUCCUUAAAGAUAACGGCGGAGUCGUGAUAUCCUCUGAGCUUAGUAAACUUACCUCUAGCUUUCGAGAAGAUCACUUCGCUUGCCGUAAAACACCCUUCUUUCUGAAUGGUUGACCUCGGAUCAGGUAGGAAUACCCGCUGAACUUAA